GGGGGGGGGGGGGGGGGGGGCGGGGAGGGGGGAGGCGGGGGGGGGGAGGAGGAGGUUGCUCCGCGGACGUUAGCGGCGGACGGGUGAGUAACACGUGGAUAACCUACCUAUAGGACUGGGGUAACUUCGGGAAACCGGAGCUAAUACCGGGUAAUAUAUUGAACCGCCUGGUUCAAUAGUGACAGACGGUUUUGCUGUCACUUAUAGCUGGAUCCGCGCCGCAUUAGCUAGUUGGUAAGGUAACGGCUUACCAAGGCGACGAUGCGUAGCCGACCUGAGAGGGUGAUCGGCCACACUGGAACUGAGACACGGUCCAGACUCCUACGGGAGGCAGCAGUAGGGAAUCUUCCGCAAUGGGCGAAAGCCUGACGGAGCAACGCCGCGUGAGUGAUGAAGGUCUUCGGAUCGUAAAACUCUGUUAUUAGGGAAGAACAAAUGUGUAAGUAACUAUGCACGUCUUGACGGUACCUAAUCAGAAAGCCACGGCUAACUACGUG
This 497-nucleotide ribosomal RNA is filed under the name uncultured bacterium. RNAcentral's name for it is "partial 16S ribosomal RNA". It matches the Rfam family "Bacterial small subunit ribosomal RNA", at positions 38 to 507 of the family's 1533-position model. The record is from RNAcentral.